GAUGAACGCUAGCGGCAGGCUUAACACAUGCAAGUCGAGGGGUAACAGGGAGAAGCUUGCUUUUCCGCUGACGACCGGCGCACGGGUGCGUAACGCGUAUAGAACCUACCUUUUACAGAGGGAUAGCCCAGAGAAAUUUGGAUUAACACCUCAUAGUAUUAUAAAUUGGCAUCAAUUAAUAAUUAAACAUUUAUGGGUAAGAGAUGGUUAUGCGUCCUAUUAGCUAGAUGGUAAGGUAACGGCUUACCAUGGCAACGAUAGGUAGGGGUCCUGAGAGGGAGAUCCCCCACACUGGUACUGAGACACGGACCAG
This 313-nucleotide ribosomal RNA is filed under the name uncultured bacterium. RNAcentral describes it as "bacterial SSU rRNA". It matches the Rfam family "Bacterial small subunit ribosomal RNA", at positions 28 to 334 of the family's 1533-position model. The record is from RNAcentral.